AUGGUCCCCCACUAUACCACACUGAUAGCUUCUCAAAGAUUAUACAUAUAUGUUACAUGCAAACAGGCACAGUUAGCAUGUCAUCACAGCUUCAAAUACCAGAGUACCUAUAUCCUCAGAAGAUACAUGCAAACAGAUUUGUCAAUGGUACAUCUAUAACGACAACACCCUCUCAACAGAAUCCUCAAGAUAAAGAAAUCUUAUGUGAUGAGAACCUCAAUAAAGAAGAUAGAAAAAGAU
Saccostrea echinata is the source of this 240-nucleotide long non-coding RNA. RefSeq lists it as uncharacterized. The transcript has 3 exons. The record is from RefSeq and is a predicted model, not a curated record. Lineage: Eukaryota; Metazoa; Mollusca; Bivalvia; Ostreida; Ostreidae.